Molecule: ribosomal RNA, 412 nt
Filed under: uncultured bacterium
Lineage: Bacteria
Description: bacterial SSU rRNA
Rfam family: Bacterial small subunit ribosomal RNA
Source: RNAcentral
GUAACACGUAUGCAACCUGCCUGUAAGACGGGAAGUAACCCGUUGAAAGACGGACUAAUACCGCAUAAUACUAAAUUACUGCAUGGUAAUUAUUUAAACAUUUAUGGCUUACAGAUGGGCAUGCGCAUGAUUAGCUAGUUGGAGAGGUAACGGCUCCCCAAGGCAACGAUCAUUAGGGGUUCUGAGAGGAAGGUCCCCCACACUGGUACUGAGACACGGACCAGACUCCUACGGGAGGCAGCAGUGAGGAAUAUUGGUCAAUGGACGAGAGUCUGAACCAGCCAAGUCGCGUGCAGGAAGAAUGUCCUUAAUGGAUUGUAAACUGCUUUUGCAGGGGAAUAAAGUGCAUCACGUGUGAUGUUUUGUAUGUACUCUGCGAAUAAGGAUCGGCUAACUCCGUGCCAGCAGCUGC